Molecule: ribosomal RNA, 515 nt
Filed under: uncultured bacterium
Lineage: Bacteria
Description: bacterial SSU rRNA
Rfam family: Bacterial small subunit ribosomal RNA
Source: RNAcentral
ACGAACGCUGGCGGCGUGCCAAUACAUGCAAGUCGAACGGUCUUUCUAUGGAAGCUUGCUUCCACUGAGAAGAUAGUGGCGAACGGGUGAGUAGCACGUGGGUAACCUGCCCAUAAGAGGGGGAUAACAUCCGGAAACGGGUGCUAAUACCGCAUAGUUUUCUUGAUCGCAUGAUUGAGAAAGGAAAGACGGCCUUUGUGCUGUCGCUUAUGGAUGGACCCGCGGCGUAUUAGUUAGUUGGUGAGGUAACGGCUCACCAAGACGAUGAUACGUAGCCGACCUGAGAGGGUGAUCGGCCACAUUGGGACUGAGACACGGCCCAAACUCCUACGGGAGGCAGCAGUAGGGAAUCUUCCGCAAUGGACGAAAGUCUGACGGAGCAACGCCGCGUGAGUGAAGAAAGGUUUUCGGAUCGUAAAACUCUGUUGUCAGAGAAGAACAAGUUGGAGAGUAACUGCUCCAGCCUUGACGGUAUCUGACCAGAAAGCCACGGCUAACUACGUGCCAGCCGCUGC